GAGGAAUAUUGCGCAAUGGAGGAAACUCUGACGCAGCCAUGCCGCGUGCAGGAAGACGGCCCUACGGGUUGUAAACUGCUUUUAUCCGGGAAGAAACCCCAGGACGUGUCCUGGGUUGACGGUACCGGAGGAAUAAGCACCGGCUAACUCCGUGCCAGCAGCCGCGGUAAUACGGAGGGUGCAAGCGUUAUCCGGAUUCAUUGGGUUUAAAGGGUGCGUAGGCGGGGUGGUAAGUCAGUGGUGAAAUCCUGCAGCUUAACUGUAGAAUUGCCAUUGAUACUGCCAUUCUUGAGUGCGCUUGAAGUGGGCGGAAUGUGCCGUGUAGCGGUGAAAUGCUUAGAUAUGGCACAGAACACCAAUUGCGAAGGCAGCUCACUAAGGCGAUACUGACGCUGAGGCACGAAAGCGUGGGGAUCGAAC
Molecule: ribosomal RNA, 420 nt
Filed under: uncultured bacterium
Lineage: Bacteria
Description: bacterial SSU rRNA
Rfam family: Bacterial small subunit ribosomal RNA
Source: RNAcentral